UGGGGAAUAUUGCACAAUGGGCGCAAGCCUGAUGCAGCCAUGCCGCGUGUAUGAAGAAGGCCUUCGGGUUGUAAAGUACUUUCAGUCGGGAGGAAGGUGUCAAGGUUAAUAACCUUGGCAAUUGACGUUACCGACAGAAGAAGCACCGGCUAACUCCGUGCCAGCAGCCGCGGUAAUACGGAGGGUGCAAGCGUUAAUCGGAAUUACUGGGCGUAAAGCGCACGCAGGCGGUUUGUUAAGUCAGAUGUGAAAUCCCCGGGCUCAACCUGGGAACUGCAUCGGAUACUGGCAAGCUUGGGUCUCGUAGAGGGGGGUAGAAUUCCAGGUGUAGCGGUGAAAUGCGUAGAGAUCUGGAGGAAUACCGGUGGCGAAGGCGGCCCCCUGGACGAAGACUGACGCUCAGGUGCGAAAGCGUGGGGAGCAAACAGG
Molecule: ribosomal RNA, 429 nt
Filed under: Chloroflexota bacterium
Lineage: Bacteria; Bacillati; Chloroflexota
Description: Chloroflexi bacterium partial 16S ribosomal RNA
Rfam family: Bacterial small subunit ribosomal RNA
Source: RNAcentral